This 2236-nucleotide long non-coding RNA is filed under the name Anthonomus grandis grandis. Its description in RNAcentral is "uncharacterized LOC126734058". The record is from RNAcentral. Lineage: Eukaryota; Metazoa; Arthropoda; Insecta; Coleoptera; Curculionidae.
CCCGCAGUUCCCUGUCUGCCUGGUGCACAUUUAUCGAUGUAUACCGAGCGCGCCAAGCUCAUUUCAGUUUUACUCACGUUUCGGUGUAUAGGGUGGAGUUAAAAGAAAUAGUUGUGGAUUUUAUUGAGUGUGUGGAGAAUAAAAUGUCUAAUCGAAAUAUUUGUUCAGUGGAUGGUUGUGAAAGUCGAAUGACAGAUCAGAAAUCGUUUUUUUAAGUGCCCUAAAGGUGAAGGAAGACGAUGUACAUUUUCUUAGAGCCAGUGUUGAUGCCAUUGUUCAGACAGAACCCUUCGAAGUAAAUGAGCUAAAGCAUCCGUUACUAAAAGUUGCAGGAACCCAGACAUCAGUAAAACUUUCAGCAAAUACGCCAAGAACAGUUUUACUUAAGGAGAAAGUAAAAACACUAGAAAAAACUAUAACUACCCACACUUGUAAAAGAAGCCUUAAAAGAGAAAUUACCAUGGAUGACGUUCUGAAAUUUUUGGAAUCAAAUUUUUCUGAAGAAACAUGGAAUCUGUUAAAAAUUCAAAUGUUAUUGCUGAAUAAGGACUCAAAAGGACGCAGGUAUACCAAUGAAUUUAAACAGUUUGCUCUAAGUUUGUUUUUUCUGGGUCCAAAAGCUUACAAAAAAAAUUCCACAGUUUAUCCUCUACCAUCAAAAUCUAAAUUAAACCGUUUUACGCAACAAUGGGUAAUUAAUUCAGGUUUUAACGAGUUUGUUUUUAAAGUAAUUAAAUGUAGAGUAAAAUUGUUGCAGGAAAAAGAAAGAGACUGUAUUUUAAGUAUGGACGAAAUAUCUUUAAGAUCUCACCUUUUUUAUGAUAUUUCUAAAGACAAAAAUGUAGGGUUUGGUUCAGGGUCAUAUAAAGUUGCAGGAAGUGCAUUAACGAUAAUGGCAAAGGGAAUUGCUAGCAAUUGAAAACAACCCAUUGCCUAUUUUUUUUAUAAUACAUCUGCACCUGUUAAUCAUUUAAUAGAUAUUUUAUUUAAAACUCUCCGAAGGAUACGCAAAACCGGUUUAGAUAUUUUUGGAGUUGUAUCAGAUCGGGGUACUAAUUUUCAAAACCUAGCUAAAAGUUCUUUAAAAGUGACAAUAGAUAAUCCCACAUUCUUUGUUGACGAUGAAAAUUUAAAACUAGUUUAUUUAUUUGAUGCUCCCCACUUACUCAAGUUGACAAAAAAUAAUUUUUUUCAACACAUUUUUUGUUUAAAUGAAGAAGAAACAAGUAAAAAAUAUUUAGAAAUGAUGUAUAAUAUUGACAAAAAGAAGCAGUUCAAAAUGGCCCAUAAAUUAACAAACGACCAUAUUUAUCCUAAUAAAUUUUAAAAAAUGAAAGUAAAGUUAGCUUCGCAAGUAUUUAGCCGCUCUGUAGCGGUAGCUAUACAUACUUGUAUUGAAUUUAACGCCUUGCCAAAAGAAGCAACUAUAACAGCCAAUUUUAUAUUUAAAAUGAAUAAUCUAUUUGAUUUAUUAAACUCCAACAACUUACAAGAUUUUCAAGCUUUCAUGGGAACUGAAAAACAAAAAACGUUAUUGCAAGAUAUGGAAUACCUUUUUAAAAACUUAAAAGUAAAAAUAUGACAAAUAGGACAAAAUUUAUUUCUGGGUGGCGGCUUACAGUAAGAUCAAUUUUAAUUCUUUGGGAAAUAUUACAAAAAAAAAGGUUUUGAUAUUGAUUUACAUGUAAUCUCAAUCAAGAUUGCCUCGAGCACUUCUUUGGUGAAAUUAGAAAUUGUUGUGGAAAUUCAAAGAAUCCUACUCCUAUUCAAUUCUGUCGAUCCUUUAAAAAGGUUUUUGCGUUAGGAUAUUUUGAUAAUGUCGAAACAGCUAAUUGUAUAGAUGAUGGCGCUAAAGCCCUACUAAAUUCAAAUCCCGAUUUUAUUAAGAGUUGCAAUAAUAUAUGCAAUUAUUCUCCCACUAAAUAUAUUCCUCUUCGAGUUUUUACCAACGAUUAUGUAAAUUUAAAAAGCGCAGAAGGAAAUGCUUUAGUAUAUGUAGCUGGAUAUUUAUUUAAAAAAUGUCUCUCACGUCACUCUUGUGAUAUAUGCAAUAAUUUUGCAACUGAGUCAAAUGCCCUGUUUAAUGAAGAGUUAUUUUAUUGUAAAUUAAAAGCAUAUAAAAAUAAUACCUUAUUUGGUGGUCUAACCAUACCUCCAAAAGACAUUAUUGAGUACAUAAUAAAAUUAGAAAGUAUUUUUAUCGCUGAAUUUAAUAAAUUAUGAGCGCAAGAAGCAA